AACGAACGCUGGUGGCGUGCUUCAUACAUGCAAGUCGAACGAGAAAGUACCUUCGGGUGCGAGUACAGUGGCGCACGGGUGCGUAACACGUAGGUGACCAACCCUUUAGUGGGGGACAACAUCGGGAAACCGGUGCUAAUACCGCAUAUGAUGAGUGAUCUUGAAAUAACUUAUCAAAGGUGGCUUCUUUUUCCCUCUUCCUUCCUUUUAGGAUCGAAGAGCUUUUUAAGUCAAACAUGAAGAUGAGUCAGUAAUGAUUCAUUUUCAGGUUUAGGGAAAACGCUAUCGCUAGAGGAUGGGCCUGCGGAGCAUUAGCUUGAUGGUGGGGUAAUGGCCUACCAUGGCUAUGAUGCUUAGCUGGUCUGAGAGGACGAUCAGCCACACUGGAACUGAGACACGGUCCAG
This 405-nucleotide ribosomal RNA is filed under the name uncultured bacterium. RNAcentral's name for it is "bacterial SSU rRNA". It matches the Rfam family "Bacterial small subunit ribosomal RNA", at positions 29 to 334 of the family's 1533-position model. The record is from RNAcentral.